CAAUAGCGUAUAUUAAAGUUGUUGCGGUUAAAAAGCUCGUAGUUGGAUUUCUGCUGAGAACGACCGGUCCGCCCAUUGGGUGUGUAUCUGGCUCUUUCUUGGCAUCUUCUUGGUGAACGUUACUGCACUUGACUGUGUGGAGCGCUACCCAGGACUUUUACUUUGAGGAAAUUAGAGUGUUUCAAGCAGGCAUACGCCUUGAAUACGUUAGCAUGGAAUAAUAAGAUAGGACCUCGGUUCUAUUUUGUUGGUUUCUAGAGCUGAGGUAAUGAUUAAUAGGGAUAAUUGGGGGCAUCUGUAUCAACGCGUCAGAGGUGGAAUUCUUGGAUUGCGUUGCGACAAACUACUGCGAAAGCAUUUGCCAAGGAUGUUUUCAUUGA
Molecule: ribosomal RNA, 380 nt
Filed under: uncultured eukaryote
Lineage: Eukaryota
Description: partial 18S ribosomal RNA
Rfam family: Eukaryotic small subunit ribosomal RNA
Source: RNAcentral